AUGCACGCCUUCCUGGGCCGCCUCUACGACUCGGCCAAGCGCUCCCUCUCGGGCGCCCGCCCCUGGCCCGAGCUCCUGGACCGUGCCGUGCUCUCGCGCCCGGACUCCCUCUUCAACGCCACCGCCCGCCUCCGCAAGAACUUCGCCUACUUCCGCGUCAACUACGCCGUGCUUGUCACGCUCUCCCUCCUCGCGCACCCCUUCUCCCUCGUCGCCCUCCUCGCGUUCCUCGCCGCCUGGUGCUUCCUCUACCUCCUCCGCCCCGCUCAACGCCUUUGGCCGCACCUUCUCCAACCCCACCGAUGCGGCGACCCUGCCGGAGGAGGCAGCGGCGCUCCCCAUGGCCGGGGCGAAGCUGGAGAGGAUGCAGCCUCUGGAGUGGCCCCAGAGGGACACUCUCUGCGACGAGCUCGGGGCGGGCGAUGCCGGGCGCCGGGUCCGGCUCUACGGCUGGGUCGCCCUCCGCUGCUCCCAUGCUGGCCUCACCUUCUUCACCCUCCGCGACUCCUCCAUCAUGGUCCAGGUGACCGACUGAUGCACCGCGGCCUGCCUCCCAUGGCGCGCCCCCGCCCCGAACCCAUUGACCGCGAGAAGUUCAUCCAGGCCUCCGCAACCCUAACGAUUGCGAGGACUGAUUCACUGAAUUCUUCUUGUGCAGACCUGCCCCCUCCGGCUCCGGGUUUUCACCAAGGCAAGGCCCAAUUGUCUCUUUUCUUCUACUCUUUCGUCUUCUUUUUAGCGCACCUGCAGUCAAGAGCGCAUUAUGAUAUCCUCAAUUUGCUUGGUCGAUUCGACCAUAUGGCACCUGUAGUUGAGCAGCACUUGAUCAGACUGCAGGUUGGUGGCCAUCACCUAAAUGAAGAAUUUUCUGGGAGAGGGAAGGAGCCAAAAGAUGAAGUUCAGAUUUACACGUGGAAGGAUGCCACACUCCGGGAGCUCAUUGUAGUUAAGUGA
This 954-nucleotide ribosomal RNA is filed under the name Triticum aestivum (bread wheat). Its description in RNAcentral is "partial small subunit ribosomal RNA". Lineage: Eukaryota; Viridiplantae; Streptophyta; Magnoliopsida; Poales; Poaceae. The record is from RNAcentral.